This 2902-nucleotide ribosomal RNA is filed under the name Escherichia coli. RNAcentral's name for it is "23S ribosomal RNA". It matches the Rfam family "Bacterial large subunit ribosomal RNA". Lineage: Bacteria; Pseudomonadati; Pseudomonadota; Gammaproteobacteria; Enterobacterales; Enterobacteriaceae. The record is from RNAcentral.
UUAAGCGACUAAGCGUACACGGUGGAUGCCCUGGCAGUCAGAGGCGAUGAAGGACGUGCUAAUCUGCGAUAAGCGUCGGUAAGGUGAUAUGAACCGUUAUAACCGGCGAUUUCCGAAUGGGGAAACCCAGUGUGAUUUGUCACACUAUCAUUAACUGAAUCCAUAGGUUAAUGAGGCGAACCGGGGGAACUGAAACAUCUAAGUACCCCGAGGAAAAGAAAUCAACCGAGAUUCCCCCAGUAGCGGCGAGCGAACGGGGAGGAGCCCAGAGCCUGAAUCAGUGUGUGUGUUAGUGGAAGCGUCUGGAAAGGCGCGCGAUACAGGGUGACAGCCCCGUACACAAAAAUGCACAUGCUGUGAGCUCGAUGAGUAGGGCGGGACACGUGGUAUCCUGUCUGAAUAUGGGGGGACCAUCCUCCAAGGCUAAAUACUCCUGACUGACCGAUAGUGAACCAGUACCGUGAGGGAAAGGCGAAAAGAACCCCGGCGAGGGGAGUGAAAAAGAACCUGAAACCGUGUACGUACAAGCAGUGGGAGCACGCUUCGGCGUGUGACUGCGUACCUUUUGUAUAAUGGGUCAGCGACUUAUAUUCUGUAGCAAGGUUAACCGAAUAGGGGAGCCGAAGGGAAACCGAGUCUUAACUGGGCGUUAAGUUGCAGGGUAUAGACCCGAAACCCGGUGAUCUAGCCAUGGGCAGGUUGAAGGUUGGGUAACACUAACUGGAGGACCGAACCGACUAAUGUUGAAAAAUUAGCGGAUGACUUGUGGCUGGGGGUGAAAGGCCAAUCAAACCGGGAGAUAGCUGGUUCUCCCCGAAAGCUAUUUAGGUAGCGCCUCGUGAAUUCAUCUCCGGGGGUAGAGCACUGUUUCGGCAAGGGGGUCAUCCCGACUUACCAACCCGAUGCAAACUGCGAAUACCGGAGAAUGUUAUCACGGGAGACACACGGCGGGUGCUAACGUCCGUCGUGAAGAGGGAAACAACCCAGACCGCCAGCUAAGGUCCCAAAGUCAUGGUUAAGUGGGAAACGAUGUGGGAAGGCCCAGACAGCCAGGAUGUUGGCUUAGAAGCAGCCAUCAUUUAAAGAAAGCGUAAUAGCUCACUGGUCGAGUCGGCCUGCGCGGAAGAUGUAACGGGGCUAAACCAUGCACCGAAGCUGCGGCAGCGACACUAUGUGUUGUUGGGUAGGGGAGCGUUCUGUAAGCCUGUGAAGGUGGCCUGUGAGGGUUGCUGGAGGUAUCAGAAGUGCGAAUGCUGACAUAAGUAACGAUAAAGCGGGUGAAAAGCCCGCUCGCCGGAAGACCAAGGGUUCCUGUCCAACGUUAAUCGGGGCAGGGUGAGUCGACCCCUAAGGCGAGGCCGAAAGGCGUAGUCGAUGGGAAACAGGUUAAUAUUCCUGUACUUGGUGUUACUGCGAAGGGGGGACGGAGAAGGCUAUGUUGGCCGGGCGACGGUUGUCCCGGUUUAAGCGUGUAGGCUGGUUUUCCAGGCAAAUCCGGAAAACUAAGGCUGAGGCGUGAUGACGAGGCACUACGGUGCUGAAGCAACAAAUGCCCUGCUUCCAGGAAAAGCCUCUAAGCAUCAGGUAACAUCAAAUCGUACCCCAAACCGACACAGGUGGUCAGGUAGAGAAUACCAAGGCGCUUGAGAGAACUCGGGUGAAGGAACUAGGCAAAAUGGUGCCGUAACUUCGGGAGAAGGCACGCUGAUAUGUAGGUGAAGCGACUUGCUCGUGGAGCUGAAAUCAGUCGAAGAUACCAGCUGGCUGCAACUGUUUAUUAAAAACACAGCACUGUGCAAACACGAAAGUGGACGUAUACGGUGUGACGCCUGCCCGGUGCCGGAAGGUUAAUUGAUGGGGUUAGCGGUAACGCGAAGCUCUUGAUCGAAGCCCCGGUAAACGGCGGCCGUAACUAUAACGGUCCUAAGGUAGCGAAAUUCCUUGUCGGGUAAGUUCCGACCUGCACGAAUGGCGUAAUGAUGGCCAGGCUGUCUCCACCCGAGACUCAGUGAAAUUGAACUCGCUGUGAAGAUGCAGUGUACCCGCGGCAAGACGGAAAGACCCCGUGAACCUUUACUAUAGCUUGACACUGAACAUUGAGCCUUGAUGUGUAGGAUAGGUGGGAGGCUUUGAAGUGUGGACGCCAGUCUGCAUGGAGCCGACCUUGAAAUACCACCCUUUAAUGUUUGAUGUUCUAACGUUGACCCGUGAUCCGGGUUGCGGACAGUGUCUGGUGGGUAGUUUGACUGGGGCGGUCUCCUCCUAAAGAGUAACGGAGGAGCACGAAGGUUGGCUAAUCCUGGUCGGACAUCAGGAGGUUAGUGCAAUGGCAUAAGCCAGCUUGACUGCGAGCGUGACGGCGCGAGCAGGUGCGAAAGCAGGUCAUAGUGAUCCGGUGGUUCUGAAUGGAAGGGCCAUCGCUCAACGGAUAAAAGGUACUCCGGGGAUAACAGGCUGAUACCGCCCAAGAGUUCAUAUCGACGGCGGUGUUUGGCACCUCGAUGUCGGCUCAUCACAUCCUGGGGCUGAAGUAGGUCCCAAGGGUAUGGCUGUUCGCCAUUUAAAGUGGUACGCGAGCUGGGUUUAGAACGUCGUGAGACAGUUCGGUCCCUAUCUGCCGUGGGCGCUGGAGAACUGAGGGGGGCUGCUCCUAGUACGAGAGGACCGGAGUGGACGCAUCACUGGUGUUCGGGUUGUCAUGCCAAUGGCACUGCCCGGUAGCUAAAUGCGGAAGAGAUAAGUGCUGAAAGCAUCUAAGCACGAAACUUGCCCCGAGAUGAGUUCUCCCUGACUCCCUGAGAGUCCUGAAGGAACGUUGAAGACGACGACGUUGAUAGGCCGGGUGUGUAAGCGCAGCGAUGCGUUGAGCUAACCGGUACUAAUGAACCGUGAGGCUUAACCU